This 253-nucleotide ribosomal RNA is filed under the name uncultured bacterium. RNAcentral's name for it is "partial 16S ribosomal RNA". It matches the Rfam family "Bacterial small subunit ribosomal RNA", at positions 524 to 776 of the family's 1533-position model. The record is from RNAcentral.
UACGUAGGGUGCGAGCGUUAAUCGGAAUUACUGGGCGUAAAGAGUGCGCAGGCGGUUUUGUAAGCCAGAUGUGAAAGCCCCGGGCUCAACCUGGGAAUGGCAUUUGGGACUGCAAGGCUGGAGUUUGGCAGAGGAGACUGGAAUUCCUGGUGUAGCAGUGAAAUGCGUAGAUAUCAGGAGGAAUACCGAUGGCGAAGGCAGGUCUCUGGGCUAUAACUGACGCUCAUGCACGAAAGCGUGGGGAGCAAACAGG